This 1000-nucleotide ribosomal RNA is filed under the name Limosilactobacillus fermentum. RNAcentral's name for it is "bacterial SSU rRNA". It matches the Rfam family "Bacterial small subunit ribosomal RNA", at positions 73 to 1055 of the family's 1533-position model. Lineage: Bacteria; Bacillati; Bacillota; Bacilli; Lactobacillales; Lactobacillaceae. The record is from RNAcentral.
ACCUGAUUGAUUUGGUCGCCAACGAGUGGCGGACGGGUGAGUAACACGUAGGUAACCUGCCCAGAAGCGGGGGACAACAUUUGGAAACAGAUGCUAAUACCGCAUAACAACGUUGUUCGCAUGAACAACGCUUAAAAGAUGGCUUCUCGCUAUCACUUCUGGAUGGACUGCGGUGCAUUAGCUUGUUGGUGGGGUAAUGGCCUACCAAGGCGAUGAUGCAUAGCCGAGUUGAGAGACUGAUCGGCCACAAUGGGACUGAGACACGGCCCAUACUCCUACGGGAGGCAGCAGUAGGGAAUCUUCCACAAUGGGCGCAAGCCUGAUGGAGCAACACCGCGUGAGUGAAGAAGGGUUUCGGCUCGUAAAGCUCUGUUGUUAAAGAAGAACACGUAUGAGAGUAACUGUUCAUACGUUGACGGUAUUUAACCAGAAAGUCACGGCUAACUACGUGCCAGCAGCCGCGGUAAUACGUAGGUGGCAAGCGUUAUCCGGAUUUAUUGGGCGUAAAGAGAGUGCAGGCGGUUUUCUAAGUCUGAUGUGAAAGCCUUCGGCUUAACCGGAGAAGUGCAUCGGAAACUGGAUAACUUGAGUGCAGAAGAGGGUAGUGGAACUCCAUGUGUAGCGGUGGAAUGCGUAGAUAUAUGGAAGAACACCAGUGGCGAAGGCGGCUACCUGGUCUGCAACUGACGCUGAGACUCGAAAGCAUGGGUAGCGAACAGGAUUAGAUACCCUGGUAGUCCAUGCCGUAAACGAUGAGUGCUAGGUGUUGGAGGGUUUCCGCCCUUCAGUGCCGGAGCUAACGCAUUAAGCACUCCGCCUGGGGAGUACGACCGCAAGGUUGAAACUCAAAGGAAUUGACGGGGGCCCGCACAAGCGGUGGAGCAUGUGGUUUAAUUCGAAGCUACGCGAAGAACCUUACCAGGUCUUGACAUCUUGCGCCAACCCUAGAGAUAGGGCGUUUCCUUCGGGAACGCAAUGACAGGUGGUGCAUGGUCGUCGU